GUCCUCUUGUUUUACAUAUGAGGUCUGACCUGCCCAGUGAGAAUUAUUUUAACGGCCGCGGUAUUUUGACCGUGCAAAGGUAGCAUAAUCAUUAGUCUUUUAAUAGGAGGCUGGAAUGAAGGGUUUGACGAGGUAUUGACUGUCUCAUUUAAUUUGAAAUUAAAAUUUAACUUUUCAGUUAAAAGGCUGAAAUUGUAUUGGAAGACGAGAAGACCCUAUAGAGCUUUAUAUUUAAAAUUAAUAAUAAAUUUUUGUUUAUUAUUAUUUCUUAUUAUUUUAAUUAUUUUGUUGGGGUGACAAAAAUAUAUAAAUAACUUUUUUAUUUAAAUAACAUUGAUUUAUGAUUAUUAGAUCCAGUCUUAUUGAUUGUUAGAUUAAGUUACCUUAGGGAUAACAGCGUAAUCUUCCUUCAGAGUUCAUAUUUACAGGAAGGAUUGCGACCUCGAUGUUGGAUUAAGAUAAUAAUUAGGUGUAGCCGCUUAAUAUAUAGGUCUGUUCGACCUUUAAAUUCUU
RNAcentral lists this ribosomal RNA (513 nucleotides) under Trigomphus interruptus. Its description in RNAcentral is "partial 16S rRNA". It matches the Rfam family "Bacterial large subunit ribosomal RNA", at positions 1819 to 2597 of the family's 2925-position model. The record is from RNAcentral. Lineage: Eukaryota; Metazoa; Arthropoda; Insecta; Odonata; Gomphidae.